GAUGAACGCUGGCGGCGUGCCUAAUACAUGCAAGUCGAGCGAACAGACGAGGAGCUUGCUCCUUCGACGUUAGCGGCGGACGGGUGAGUAACACGUAGGUAACCUACCUAUAAGACUGGGAUAACUUCGGGAAACCGGAGCUAAUACCGGAUAAUAUUUCGAACCGCAUGGUUCGAUAGUGAAAGAUGGCUUUGCUAUCACUUAUAGAUGGACCUGCGCCGUAUUAGCUAGUUGGUAAGGUAACGGCUUACCAAGGCAACGAUACGUAGCCGACCUGAGAGGGUGAUCGCCCACACUGGAACUGAGACACGGUCCAGACUCCUACGGGAGGCAGCAGUAGGGAAUCUUCCGCAAUGGGCGAAAGCCUGACGGAGCAACGCCGCGUGAGUGAUGAAGGUCUUCGGAUCGUAAAACUCUGUUAUUAGGGAAGAACAAACGUGUAAGUAACUGUGCACGUCUUGACGGUACCUAAUCAGAAAGCCACGGCUAACUACGUG
Molecule: ribosomal RNA, 497 nt
Filed under: uncultured bacterium
Lineage: Bacteria
Description: partial 16S ribosomal RNA
Rfam family: Bacterial small subunit ribosomal RNA
Source: RNAcentral